UUAGCUGGUGACUCUAUUAACACGGAUAGAACUUUUAUUGGAAAGCAUAUUAUGCCAAAACUCGAAAGUCGUUUAAGUUAUAGAUUGAUAGACGUGUCUACUCUAAAAUAGUUGUUUAAGAUAAGUUGUAUACAUUUAAGAAGAAAAACGAGCACCGAAACAAAUCCAACAAUGAACAACGAACACAAAAUUGUAUGGUUUGAUGGUGAGGUGUUUGUCCGUUAGCUGGUGACUCUAUUUACACGGAUAGAACUUUUAUUGGAAAGAAUAUUAUGCCAAAACUCGAAAGUCGUUUGAGUUAUAGAUUGAUAGACGUGUCUACUCUAAAAUAGUUGUUUAAGAUAAGUUGUAUACAUUUAAGAAGAAAAACGAGCACCGAAACAAAUCCAACAAUGAACAACGAACACAAAAUUGUAUGGUUUGAUGGUGUUUGUCCGUUAGCUGGUGACUCUAUUUACACGGAUAGAACUUUUAUUGGAAAGCAUAUUAUGCCAAAACUCGAAAGUCGUUUGAGUUAUAGAUUGAUAGACGUGUCUACUCUAAAAUAGUUGUUUAAGAUAAGUUGUAUACAUUUAAGAAGAAAAACGAGCACCGAAACAAAUCCAACAAUGAACAACGAACACAAAAUUGUAUGGUUUGAUGGUGAGGUGUUUGUCCGUUAGCUGGUGACUCUAUUUACACGGAUAGAACUUUUAUUGGAAAGCAUAUUAUGCCAAAACUCGAAAUUCGUUUAAGUUAUAGAUUGAUAGACGUGUCUACUCUAAAAUAGUUGUUUAAGAUAAGUUGUAUACAUUUAAGAAGAAAAACGAGCACCGAAACAAAUCCAACAAUGAACAACGAACACAAAAUUGUAUGGUUUGAUGGUGAGGUGUUUGUCCGUUAGCUGGUGACUCUAUUUACACGGAUAGAACUUUUAUUGGAAAGCAUAUUAUGCCAAAACUCGAAAUUCGUUUAAGUUAUAGAUUGAUAGACGUGUCUACUCUAAAAUAGUUGUUUAAGAUAAGUUGUAUACAUUUAAGAAGAAAAACGAGCACCGAAACAAAUCCAACAAUGAACAACGAACACAAAAUUGUAUGGUUUGAUGGUGAGGUGUUUGUCCGUUAGCUGGUGACUCUAUUUACACGGAUAGAACUUUUAUUGGAAAGCAUAUUAUGCCAAAACUCGAAAUUCGUUUAAGUUAUAGAUUGAUAGACGUGUCUACUCUAAAAUAGUUGUUUAAGAUAAGUUGUAUACAUUUAAGAAGAAAAACGAGCACCGAAACAAAUCCAACAAUGAACAACGAACACAAAAUUGUAUGGUUUGAUGGUGAGGUGUUUGUCCGUUAGCUGGUGACUCUAUUUACACGGAUAGAACUUUUAUUGGAAAGCAUAUUAUGCCAAAACUCGAAAUUCGUUUAAGUUAUAGAUUGAUAGACGUGUCUACUCUAAAAUAGUUGUUUAAGAUAAGUUGUAUACAUUUAAGAAGAAAAACGAGCACCGAAACAAAUCCAACAAUGAACAACGAACACAAAAUUGUAUGGUUUGAUGGUGAGGUGUUUGUCCGUUAGCUGGUGACUCUAUUUACACGGAUAGAACUUUUAUUGGAAAGCAUAUUAUGCCAAAACUCGAAAUUCGUUUAAGUUAUAGAUUGAUAGACGUGUCUACUCUAAAAUAGUUGUUUAAGAUAAGUUGUAUACAUUUAAGAAGAAAAACGAGCACCGAAACAAAUCCAACAAUGAACAACGAACACAAAAUUGUAUGGUUUGAUGUUGAGGUGUGUAAUCAUUAUUAACUCUGCUUAAAUUAAUCAAAUAUUAACACAUACAUGGGCAUUUUUUGAGCAUAAUCGCCCACCAACAUUAGGUUUUCAAAUGAGAACCUACAUGUUUUAAUGCAGAUACCUACCUAUUGAAAUGAUUUAUAUAUGUAUUUUGUAUGUAUUAUUC
This 1924-nucleotide long non-coding RNA is filed under the name Acyrthosiphon pisum (pea aphid). RNAcentral's name for it is "uncharacterized LOC100570654, transcript variant X10". Lineage: Eukaryota; Metazoa; Arthropoda; Insecta; Hemiptera; Aphididae. The record is from RNAcentral.